UAGGGAAUCUUCGGCAGUGGACGAAAGUCUGACCGAGCAACGCCGCGUGAGUGAAGAAGGUUUUCGGAUCGUAAAACUCUGUUGUUAGAGAAGAACAAGGACGUUAGUAACUGAACGUCCCCUGACGGUAUCUAACCAGAAAGCCACGGCUAACUACGUGCCAGCAGCCGCGGUAAUACGUAGGUGGCAAGCGUUGUCCGGAUUUAUUGGGCGUAAAGCGAGCGCAGGCGGUUUCUUAAGUCUGAUGUGAAAGCCCCCGGCUCAACCGGGGAGGGUCAUUGGAAACUGGGGGACUUGAGUGCAGAAGAGGAGAGUGGAAUUGCAUGUGUAGCGGUAAAAUGCGUAGAUAUAUGGAGGAACACCAGUGGCGAAGGCGGCUCUCUGGACUGUAACUGACGCUGAGGCUCGAAAGCGUGGGGAGCAAACAGG
Molecule: ribosomal RNA, 429 nt
Filed under: Gemmatimonadota bacterium
Lineage: Bacteria; Pseudomonadati; Gemmatimonadota
Description: Gemmatimonadetes bacterium partial 16S ribosomal RNA
Rfam family: Bacterial small subunit ribosomal RNA
Source: RNAcentral